AAAAAUUUAAACGAUGUCCAUGUACCAUGAAAGAAAGUUUAAAUAUACAUUGAUAUAAAUGUAGAAUGUAUUUAGAAAAUUUAAAACAAUAGUAAAGAUCAUAGGUUUUAGUAUAUAGAGCAUUUCCAAAAAAAUUCAAUAUUUUCGUAGGGGUUUAACCCAUAGAUUUUGAGAAAAAUUCAAAAAAAUGAAAAUUAUUUUUUAAUGCAUAGUUGCACCAUUCAAUAACAUAUAAUGAAGUCCAAAGAGGAUUAUAACCUUUGUUGUCUUCGUUUUUCUAGAGAAUGGCGAUUUUAUAGUGGUUAUUCAACUAAUUUAGGAAGUAUUAUGAAGUUUUACUAAAUUAAUUGACAAAAAAAUUUAAAGGAUACACAUGUACCAUGAUAGAGAGUUUCAUAUACAUUGAUACAAAUGUAGAAUUUGUUUAGAAUUUUCAAAACAACAGUAAAGAUCAUAGGUUUUAGUAUAUAGAGCAUUUACCGAAAAAUUCAAUAUUUUCGUAGGAGGGGUUAACCCAUAGAUUUUGAUAAAAAUUCAAAAAAACAAAAAUUCUAUUUUAAUGCAUAGUUGCAUCCUUUAUUAACAUAAGAUGAAGGCCAAAGAGGAUUAUAACUUUUGUUGUCUUCGUUUUUCUAGAGAAUAGCGAUUUUAUAGUGGUUAUUCAGCCAAUUUAGGGAGUAUUAUGAAGUUUUACCAAAUUAAUUGACAAAAAAACUUAAACGAUGCCCAUGUACCAUGAAAGAGAGUUUCAUAUACAUUGAUACAAAUGUAGAAUGUGUUUAGAAUUUUCAAAACAACAGUAAAGAUCAUAGAUUUUAGUAUAUAGAGCAUUUUCCGAAAAAUUAAAUAUUUUCGUAGGGUUAACCCAUUGAUUUUGUGAAAAAUUAAAAAAAAAAAUUAUAUUUUAAUGCAUAUUUGCAUUCUUCACUAACAUAUGAUGAAGCUCAAAGAUGUUUGGAACCUUAGUUGUGUUCGUUUUUCAAGAGAAUAGCAAUUUUAUAGUGGUUAGUCAACCAAUUUAGGAAGUAUUAUGAAGUUUUAAUAAAUUAAUUGGCAAAAAAUUUUAACGAUGCCCAUGUAUAAUGAAAGAGAGUUUAAUAUAUAUUAAUACAAAUGUAUAAUGCGUUUAAAAUUUUUAAAACAACACUAAAGAUUAUAGGUUUUAGUAUAUAGAGCAUUUAC
Molecule: long non-coding RNA, 1182 nt
Organism: Brassica rapa (field mustard)
Lineage: Eukaryota; Viridiplantae; Streptophyta; Magnoliopsida; Brassicales; Brassicaceae
Source: RefSeq, a predicted model, not a curated record